Molecule: regulatory RNA element, 97 nt
Organism: Clostridium paraputrificum
Lineage: Bacteria; Bacillati; Bacillota; Clostridia; Eubacteriales; Clostridiaceae
Rfam family: TPP riboswitch aptamer (THI element)
About the family: Vitamin B(1) in its active form thiamin pyrophosphate (TPP) is an essential coenzyme that is synthesised by coupling of pyrimidine and thiazole moieties in bacteria. The previously detected thiamin-regulatory element, thi box was extended, resulting in a new, highly conserved RNA secondary structure, the THI element, which is widely distributed in eubacteria and also occurs in some archaea.
Source: Rfam
UGAAUUAGCUAGGGGUGCCGUAAGGCUGAGAAGGAUUUUCCUAACUCUUGUACCUGAUAUGGAUAAUACCAUCGUAGGGAAGCUUAUAAUUUGAAAA